Molecule: ribosomal RNA, 490 nt
Filed under: uncultured bacterium
Lineage: Bacteria
Description: partial 16S ribosomal RNA
Rfam family: Bacterial small subunit ribosomal RNA
Source: RNAcentral
AUUGAACGCUGGCGGCAGGCCUAACACAUGCAAGUCGAACGGUAACAGGAAGAAGCUUGCUUCUUUGCUGACGAGUGGCGGACGGGUGAGUAAUGUCUGGGAAACUGCCUGAUGGAGGGGGAUAACUACUGGAAACGGUAGCCAAUACCGCAUAACGUCGCAAGACCAAAGAGGGGGACCUUCGGGCCUCUUGCCAUCGGAUGUGCCCAGAUGGGAUUAGCUAGUAGGUGGGGUAACGGCUCACCUAGGCGACGAUCCCUAGCUGGUCUGAGAGGAUGACCAGCCACACUGGAACUGAGACACGGUCCAGACUCCUACGGGAGGCAGCAGUGGGGAAUAUUGCACAAUGGGCGCAAGCCUGAUGCAGCCAUGCCGCGUGUAUGAAGAAGGCCUUCGGGUUGUAAAGUACUUUCAGCGGGGAGGAAGGGAGUAAAGUUAAUACCUUUGCUCAUUGACGUUACCCGCAGAAGAAGCACCGGCUAACUCCGUG